GACCCCUGGCUAUGGGCAAAGAGACACCUGAUUGGUGGUGGUGCUCUUAGAUCAGUCAGGGACAGAGCCAGCUUGAAGUCCUUUGUUCAUCCUAGCUUGAUGCCUGGAUUGUGGCCAGAGCUGUUUCAUGCCUAGGGCACAUUU
This 144-nucleotide small nucleolar RNA is filed under the name Echinops telfairi (small Madagascar hedgehog). RNAcentral describes it as "Small nucleolar RNA SNORA48 (ENSETEG00000025945.1)". It matches the Rfam family "Small nucleolar RNA SNORA48". Rfam says of the family: The snoRNA ACA 48 has been identified to guide pseudouridylation of the residue U3797 in the 28S rRNA subunit. Lineage: Eukaryota; Metazoa; Chordata; Mammalia; Afrosoricida; Tenrecidae. The record is from RNAcentral.